CCCUACGGGGUGCAGCAGGCGCGAAACCUUCACAAUGUGCGAAAGCGCGAUGAGGGGAUCCCAAGUGCUUGCUCGUAAGAGUAAGCUGUUUUUAUGUCUAAAAAGCAUAGAGAGUAAGGGCUGGGUAAGACGGGUGCCAGCCGCCGCGGUAAUACCUGCAGCUCAAGUAGUGACCGCUAUUAUUGGGCCUAAAACGUUCGUAGCCGGUUUGAUAAAUGCCUGGGUAAAUAGUGUAGCUUAACUAUACGAAUUCCGGGUAGACUGUUAAACUUGAGACCGGGAGAGGCUAGAGGUACUCCUGGGGUAGAGGUGAAAUUCUGUAAUCCUGAGGGGACCACCAGUGGCGAAGGCGUCUAGCUAGAACGGGUCUGACGGUGAGGAACGAAGCCCUGGGGCGCGAACCGGAUUAGAUACCCGGGUAGUCCAGGGUGUAAACGCUGCUUGCUUGACGUUAGUUGGGCUCCGAGCCCAAUUAGUGUCGGAGAGAAGUUGUUAAGCAAGCUGCCUGGGAAGUACGAUCGCAAGAUUGAAACUUAAAGGAAUUGGCGGGGGAGCAC
This 557-nucleotide ribosomal RNA is filed under the name uncultured archaeon. Its description in RNAcentral is "bacterial SSU rRNA". It matches the Rfam family "Archaeal small subunit ribosomal RNA", at positions 321 to 879 of the family's 1478-position model. The record is from RNAcentral.